RNAcentral lists this ribosomal RNA (253 nucleotides) under uncultured bacterium. RNAcentral describes it as "partial 16S ribosomal RNA". It matches the Rfam family "Bacterial small subunit ribosomal RNA", at positions 524 to 776 of the family's 1533-position model. The record is from RNAcentral.
UACGAGGGGGGCGAGCGUUGUUCGGAAUUAUUGGGCGUAAAGGGUGCGUAGGCGGUUUGGUAAGUCUUAUGUGAAAUCUAUGGGCUCAACUCAUAGUCUGCAUGAGAAACUGCCGGGCUUGAGUAUGGGAGAGGUGAGUGGAAUUCCUGGUGUAGCGGUGAAAUGCGUAGAUAUCAGGAGGAACACCUGUGGCGAAAGCGGCUCACUGGACCAUAACUGACGCUGAGGCGCGAAAGCCAGGGGAGCAAACGGG